GGGAUUUAGGGCAUUACAAUCUAAGCCAUGUAUGUGAAAGUAUAAACUAAUUCAGAUUGUGAAAUUAUGUAUAGCUCAUUAAAUCAGUUAUAGUUUGUUUGAUGGCAUUUACUACAUGGAUAAAUGUAGUAAUUCUAGAGCUAAUACUACUUCUGUAAGGGAUACAUUUAUUAGAUAAAAGGUCAAUACGAGCUUUCCACAUUACUCUAAUGAUUCAUGAUGACUCAAUGGAUCGCAUGGCCUUUGUGCCAAUGACACUCAUUCAAAUUUUUGCACGAUCAACUUUCAAUGGUAAGAUAGUGGUAUGUUAUGGUGGUGAUAGGUGACGGAGAAUUAGGGUUCAAUUCCAAAAAAAAAAGCCUGAAGAACAACUACCACAUCUAAGGAAGGCAGCAAGCAUGCAAAUUACCCAAUCUAACAUGGGGAAGUGGUGGCAAUAAAUAACAAUACCAAGCUCUAUGAGUCUAGUAUUUGAAAUGAGUAUAAUCUAAAUCCCUUAAUAAAGAUCCAUUUGAGGGCAAGUCUGGUGCCAGUAGCCAUGGUAAUUCCAGCACCAAUAGCAUAUAUUCAAGUUGUUGUAGUUAAAAAGCUCAUAGUUGGAACUAGGGUUAGGUCAUCUGUCCUCCUGAUGAUGAGUAUUGGUUGACUCAUCCCUAAUGAUGCACUCCUAGCCGUAACUAGUCGAGUCAUUCCUCUAGCACUAUCACUUUAAAGCAAUUAGAGUGCUUAAAGCAGGCUUACACUUAUAUACAUUAGCAUGGGAUAAAAUCAUAGGAUUUCAGUCCUAUUGUGUUCACCGUAGAGAUCAAAGUAACAAUUAAUAGGGACAGCCAAAGGCAUUUGUAUUUCAUAGUUAGAGGUGAAAUUCUUGGAUUUAUGAAAGAUGAGCAAUUGUGAAAGCAUUUGUCAAGUAUGUUUUCAUUAAUCAAGAAUGAAAGUUAAGGGCUCAAAGAUGAUCAGAUACCGUCCUAGUUUCGACCAUAAAUGAUGUUGACCAAAGAUCAGUGGAUGUUACUUUUAAGACUUCGCUAGCACUUUUUAAGAAAUCAAAGUCUUUAGGUUCUAAGAAAAGUAUGAUUGCAAGACUAAAACUUAAAGGAAUUGAUAGAAAGGCACCACCAGGAGUGCAGGCUAUGACAUAAUUUGACUCAACUUAGGGAAACUUACCAAGUCCAGACAUAGUAAGGAUUGACAAACUAAUAGCUUUUUCUUGAUUCUAAGGGUGGUGUUGCAUGCCCAUUCUUAGUUGGUGAAGUGAUUUGUCUAGUUAAUUCCAUUAACAAAUGAGACCUCAACUUGCUAACUAGCAAUGCGUAAGUGAUCUUUCAUGGCUAGCUUCUUUGAGGGACUAUGGUUACUUAGGCUAAAGAAGUUUGAGGUAAUAACAUGUCUAUGAUGCCCUUAGAUGUUUUAGGCCACAUGCGCACUACACUGAUAUAUUCAAUGAGUCUAUAGCCUUAGCCGAUAAGUCGAGGUAAUCUUUGAAAUUUCAUCGUGAUGGGGAUAGAUCAUUGCAAUUAUUGGUCUUCAACAAGGAAUUCCUAGUAAACGUGAGUCAUCAGUUCACGUUGACUAUGUCCCUGCACCACCCAUUGUUUCUAUUGAUUGAAUGGUCUAGUAAAGUGUUUGGAUCAUAGCAACAUGGAUGGUUUACUUUCCGUGAUGUUUCAAGAAGCCACUAAACCUUAUCAUUUAGAGGAAAGAGAACUCGCAACAAGGUUUUCACAGGUGAUCCUGUAGAAG
RNAcentral lists this ribosomal RNA (1743 nucleotides) under Durio zibethinus. RNAcentral's name for it is "SSU rRNA". It matches the Rfam family "Eukaryotic small subunit ribosomal RNA". Lineage: Eukaryota; Viridiplantae; Streptophyta; Magnoliopsida; Malvales; Malvaceae. The record is from RNAcentral.